This 684-nucleotide ribosomal RNA is filed under the name uncultured cyanobacterium. Its description in RNAcentral is "bacterial SSU rRNA". It matches the Rfam family "Bacterial small subunit ribosomal RNA", at positions 120 to 838 of the family's 1533-position model. Lineage: Bacteria; Bacillati; Cyanobacteriota. The record is from RNAcentral.
AGAAUCUGGCUUCAGGUUCGGGACAACAGUUGGAAACGGCUGCUAAUACCGGAUGUGCCUUACGGUGAAAGAUUUAUCACCUGAAGAUGAGCUCGCGUCUGAUUAGCUAGUUGGUGUGGUAAGAGCGCACCAAGGCGACGAUCAGUAGCUGGUCUGAGAGGAUGAUCAGCCACACUGGGACUGAGACACGGCCCAGACUCCUACGGGAGGCAGCAGUGGGGAAUUUUCCGCAAUGGGCGAAAGCCUGACGGAGCAAUACCGCGUGAGGGAGGAAGGCUCUUGGGUUGUAAACCUCUUUUCUCAGGGAAGAAAAAUGACGGUACCUGAGGAAUAAGCAUCGGCUAACUCCGUGCCAGCAGCCGCGGUAAUACGGAGGAUGCAAGCGUUAUCCGGAAUGAUUGGGCGUAAAGCGUCCGCAGGUGGCAAUGUAAGUCUGCUGUCAAAGCGUCUGGCUCAACCAGAUAAAGGCAGUGGAAACUACAUAGCUAGAGUAAGGUAGGGGUAGAGGGAAUUCCUGGUGUAGCGGUGAAAUGCGUAGAGAUCAGGAAGAACACCGGUGGCGAAGGCGCUCUGCUGGACCUUAACUGACACUGAGGGACGAAAGCUAGGGGAGCGAAUGGGAUUAGAUACCCCAGUAGUCCUAGCCGUAAACGAUGGAUACUAGGCGUUGCCCGUAUCGACCCG